CACGGUGCUGCCGGUGGGUCAAAGAAGCCAGAGUAUCGGGCGGCUCGAGCAGCCUCCUUAUAAUUAAGGAGUUAGCAACCCCAAGCAGGACACCUCUCUGGACGGGGAAGGUCUGAGAUCCAUCUGGAAGAGCGUUUCUCAAAUCAAGAGAUGCUACUCAGAGAAAGGGUUUCACAGCCAAGCAGGUGUACAAUACAGUGAUUCAACACUUCUAUACAUUACUCAUGCUCAUCAAGCCGUAUGGAGCACGGAAGUCAAUUGGACAACCCACAUGCUCUAACAAGCAUUCGUGUUCUUGAAGGCAUUUACCAAAUCUCCUUCCAGCUUC
Panthera uncia (snow leopard) is the source of this 328-nucleotide long non-coding RNA. RefSeq lists it as uncharacterized. The record is from RefSeq and is a predicted model, not a curated record. NCBI's taxonomy places the organism in Eukaryota, Metazoa, Chordata, Mammalia, Carnivora, Felidae. The transcript has 4 exons.